RNAcentral lists this ribosomal RNA (292 nucleotides) under uncultured bacterium. RNAcentral's name for it is "partial 16S ribosomal RNA". The record is from RNAcentral.
GGACUACCCGGGUAUCUAAUCCCGUUCGCUCCCCAUGCUGUCGUGUCUGAGCGUCAGUUGCGAGCCAGGGCGCCGCCUUCGCCUCUGGGGUUCCUCCGGAUCUCUACGCAUUUCACCACUACACCCGGAAUUCCACGCCCCUCUCUCGCACUCCAGAGUGUCAGUCUGGCAUAACACAGCCCGGUUAAGCCGGGCGAUUUCAUACACCACUUGACACCCCGCCUGCACACCCUUUACGCCCAGUAAAUCCGGAUAACGCUCGCCACCUACGUUUUACCGCGGCUGCUGGCAC